CAUGACCCAUCUGCCUGGCACCAGCACCUGGGGCUGCCAGGCAGCCACCCCUGCAGCUGUGUUGACAGGACCUGGCAGAGGGACUGACCCACCUUUGGAAAAUGACACCAGCAAUAUCAGGAUGUGUCAACUGGAUUUAUGCUAAGAAAAUAGGAUUUUUGGUGUUCCUCUGUUUCCCAAAGUUUGAGACACUUUCAGACACUCUGCUUUGCGGUUGUGGCCGAUGUUACCCAUGGGUGGGACUUUUGCUUUGCUCUAGAUUUUUGUAACACCCUGGGGAGUUUCAGGGGCCAAUGCUGAGAGAAGACCACAGGCUGACACAUCAUGAGAUCCUGUCAAAUGUGGACCGGGUGGUGUCAUCGCACCACCAUCAUCCCCUUGUUACCCCUGAGAACACAGCUUCAGAGAGGGGCGGCGCUGGCUUUCAGGCCGUUCAGCAGGGAUGAGUAGAAGGCAUGGAUGAACAUCUUAGAAGCAGCCACUGGCACAGGCCACAGAGACACGAGGACACACUGAGCGCCGGCAGCCAGGAAGGCCCUUGUCAGCGCGAUGACCCCGUCGGCUGUGACUUUGCUGUUGGACUCCUGGGAGGAGCCAAGCACCACCAGCUUCACAGGCAGCUGCAGGUCCAGGACGUCGGCGGCAGUGCCUAACUUACUGAGAAUCAUGCCUGCUGUGAUGAGCCCUUGGAAACCAUCAGGACUGGAUGGUAGGGGUCCUGAGAGGAUUGGGGGAGGAGGCCUUGAUAUGACAGAGUGGACAGAGGCCGUGGAACCCAGGACAGCCAGCCUGCUCCACAAUCCUCAUCCCCACAGACCUUCAUGUGUGGCUCCUAAAUAAGAGGAAACCCACUCCUGAUAAGUCAGGGGCUUUGAAAAGUGAUUUUGUUUAAAUGGUGCAAACAAGCAAGCCAAUCUUGGGGAGACAGGGCUAAACUUAAGUCCUUUAAGAAGCUCUACAUACUGACAAGAUUCUAGUUCCCUUCCACCUUAUAUGCUGCAAAGUAAAAAGUAUCACUGAAUGAGAAAAUCAGCAUAAAGAAGCCCAAUAAUGUCUGCCUGAGUUUCCCCUAUGAUGACUUUUGGUACUUUUUGGGAAACAUUAAGUAUGAAGUUAUUUCAAAAUAAUUUUUUGGUGCCUCUGCUUGGUGAUGCCUUAAACUCUGGGUAAGAGAAACACCAGGUGCCUGUCAGGAGAUGGCCUUUUCCAGGUUUCUGGUUAAGCUACAAACAGCUAACUGGCUGCUGUCAUCAAAAUAAAAGCUUUCUGAAGGUGGAGGCAUCUGAUACCCAGAGUGCUGCUAUCAGCCGGCACGGUGGGCCGCUGGGUGGCAGGAGCGUCGAGAAGGCCAGCUCGCUUCCUAUCUGGGAUUCAGAAUCAGCUAUGGAAACUUGAGAGACCUAGAGAAAAUAACUUCUUUCACUUUGAACUGAUUCUUUGCUUCAUAAGAAAAGUAUUAUCCAGCCACAAAAAUGGUCAAAAUUCAGAUCUACAAAAGCCUGUCAGGCAGAAACUGACCCCACUUAGGCCACGCCAAUGAGCAAGUCAUCAAAGCAGCCAAGACAGGUCCUGUGGGGGCCACCCAUGCACAGGGCCCAGCCUCGGGUCCUAACCCCGCCUAUGCUUUCCGCCACCAUAAAGAGGCCCAUCUGGGUAAGACCUGUCCCGCCUGCUGUGGGGUAUUAGGGCAGAUGGGGUCUGAGGGGUCUGAGGGCUCUGAGAGCAGCUGGCAGCUCAAGGACAUCCGGAGUUGGAGGAUGGAGCAAUGCAGGCCCUUGUGGUAAAGACAGUCCUGCAGCCGCGCAGGCAGGGAUGCUGCAAGUGGAGUGCCAGGCGGGUGCGGAGCCCUGUGGGACUGUGGAGGGGUCAGAGGGAAGCCAGGAUUUUGGGGUCUCUGAGAGUUUGGAGAAGGGGAAGAAGAUUAAAGCUUGUUUCAAAAGUUUCUAAUCAGGUGGGCAGGGCCAAGGGUGGCUGUGGGGUGAGACCCAUGACUCAGGGUGGCCCACUGUUACUCUAUUGAUUUUUGGGCGUUUUUUUCCAAAUUGAUUAUUCUUGCUGAAUGAGACCUGAGUCCUUGACUGUCCCCUUAAAGCCACCUGACUUGUUUUCAGUUCCACUGGCCUGUCGGGCUGUUUUCUACUCAACUCCACUCUUGCUUGUCUGCCCUCCCUGCCUGGGGCCCAGCCAGCAGUCAGCUCAAGGGCCAGAUGAAUUGGGUGGCUGUGCUCUGCCCACUGGGCAUCGUGUGGAUGGUGGGUGACCAGCCCCCUCAGGUGCUCAGCCAGGCCUCAAGCCUUGCUGUGUACCUCAGAGCAGCUCCGUACCCUGAUGUCACAGCAAAGAAACUUAGACAUGACACAAACUGUGGCUUCCCAAGGCAGCAAAGAAUGGCCAGGGGUCAUGAGGGCCGUGCCCCACUUUUGGACAGACCUACUCUAAAGUCACGCUACCUGCGUGCAAAUCAUAAAAUCAACACUUUUGAGGAGAUCACAGCUAUGCCUUCGUAACACAGCCCAGUCCGACCAGAUAGACGGUGCCUCGUGACCCGAAAACAAGCCCCCGGCCCCCCACCAUGUGUGUGAGCCUUACCUUGGACUGCACGCUGAGGGAGCGGAUGGAAGGGACAGCAAGGAGGCCGAAGCGCUCGUAGAGGUACUCAUUGGAGGAGCUUCCCUUCAGGAGGGCGAAAGGAAUGAGGUAGAGCUCCCCCUCCAGAACCAGGAUGAGCUGCCGGUGCCGGCCCACGGGGCCGCUGGAGUGCAUCAGGCCCUAUGGAGCAAGCACGGAGAGGCUGACAUGGGUGGCCCAGCAGGCAGGGGUUUCAGGCACCAGGACAACCCUGAGCCCUAGCCUGGAUGACACAAGCACGAGCAGGUGAGGCCUGUGGGGGUGUGGGGCGCCAUGGGGCAUGGGCCGAGUUGCAGCCCUGCAGGAGCGGCACCAACUGGCAUGCUCGCUUGUGGACUGGCAAGGGCUGGCCUGGCAGCAUCCAUCUGCCUCACAGUCCUGAGAAGGUUAGAGGACAGUUUCUUGAAGUUCACAAGAACCUGAAGUGGGUUGGAGACCGGUCUGUACCGCACAGGCACCCUGAGAAGGGGUGGGAAUGGCCCCUCUCAAAACAAGAUCUGUUUUCCAUUUCAAUGGACAAGAGGCUAGAAAAUCACAGUGAGGACGGGAGGUCUGGGGGCUGGCAUGACAGCCCCUGUAGAAGGGGAUGGGCUGGGUUCUAGGAUCUUCCGUGACCUCCUCUGAGAAAGAGUGGCCCCUUGGCUCUGGGCUUGGGAGGUGCCGUCCCCACUUGUUCCCUCUGGGGAUGUCAGGGGACCCAAUGCAUGGAUGACUCCCAUCCCUCUUGAAAGGCCGAGCAUGAGGACUCGAGGCAGGGUGUGCACAGGGCCACAGCGGACACAGCCUCAUUCCUGUUCAUUGCAGAACAAGGCUAAGGGCGCGGGCAUCUUAAUGAGAGCAGCAGGCAACAAUCCUGGAAGCUGGGUCCACACAGACUGCGGUGAACAAAGAGGUGGCGUGGAAGCUGCUGCUGCAGCCCAGAGCCUGCCAAGAAGGUCCCAGGUCCACAGGGCCUGCGCAACACUGGGUGCCAGGGGUGGGGCUGGCCUGCCCCCCAACCCCAUCUGCUGAGGAGUGGCUGACAAGCGGACACCCACCAGGGUGCCACUCGCUUGUGCCUGGGGAAGCAAAUGUGCUCGCUUGACCCGUCUGAUGUGCUGCCGUGGGCACUUGACUGAGAGUGGCAGAGCACUAGGCUAACCCAAAGUGACACAUGCCUGGCGGGAUGUUCAGUCU
Molecule: long non-coding RNA, 3804 nt
Organism: Homo sapiens (human)
Lineage: Eukaryota; Metazoa; Chordata; Mammalia; Primates; Hominidae
Gene: TTC28-AS1
Product: TTC28 antisense RNA 1
Source: Ensembl